This 2145-nucleotide long non-coding RNA is filed under the name Homo sapiens (human). RNAcentral's name for it is "HSALNT0360633". The record is from RNAcentral. Lineage: Eukaryota; Metazoa; Chordata; Mammalia; Primates; Hominidae.
CCUCCCAGACGCGGGCUGCUCUGUCAGUUGGGGGCCUGUAGCAAAGAGAAUCUGGAGAAUGCCACAGCACAUCUGUGAUGAACACAAAAGAUGAUUGUCACUGUAAACCACUGCGCUUCAUGCAGAUUACCUACAUCAGAGUGAGAGGCAGCUGGAAGAAGUGCAAUGCAUUGAGAAACCUCUAGAAAGAGACACCAGUGCUGGAACAGGACGAACCUCAAGUGCAGAGUUUCCUCCCAACAGUGAAGAGAACUCAGCAGUGAGCCUCUGUGGAGAAGGGGGCAUUUAAGCUGGGCCCCAGACUCAGCAGAGGGAAUUCUGGAGCAAAAGUGCCAAGGAGGGUGCAAGCUUGGCUCUGCAGGAACUGGGGCCAUGUGACAGCAGUCUUUCUCCAAUAGGAUGCCCAUAGCCACUAUCCAGCCUGAGUUUCAUCAAUCAUGUGUGUCUUGCCUCUGAAGUCGUAAUUUACCUUGAAAGCCACUGGAGCAGGCACCACUCAUGUGACUGCAGGACCACAGGGCUGAGGGCAUCCUUGAGAACUCAACUUGAAUGUGUGGCAGACUUCCCAUCACCAAGCCAUCCCUAUGGACCCAGGCUCAACAUUACCAAAGCAUAUUACAAGAAAACUCCGUUUUAUGAAGUGACGGUGAUUUACAUCUUUCUGUCUCUGCUCUUCCCCCCGACUUCCUCUCGCACACAUUCCCUCUCCAGAGGAUUUGAAAAGAAGCCUGGAGCUAUCCUUGUCGGAGCUCCAGGUUCAUCCCACAGACUGAGGAGCUUUUCACAAAACACCAUGAUUUCCUAGGGUUCCACUGCAGUAUCUGGAAAGAAAGAUGGUUUUCGGUCUGAACCGUGAGGGAAAUGGAGCUCGCUACUUCACAGAAUCAUCAUCAUCGUCAUCCUCAUUCCCAUUAGGAUUAGAAUUGGGUAUUCUCUAAAAAUCCAAAGUCCGUGACUACCCAAUUUCAGCAGCCGUUUUACCCCCAUGAGAUUGCAACACAGCAAGAUCCCACACGUGUGCCUAUCUGGGCUGCGUGUGUGAAACUCUCCAGCCCCAUUUCUGAACUGAGAGGAGGAUGAAGGGCCCUGCAAGGCGAUUUUUGCAGGAAAGUUGGAGCUGUGCCUGACGCAGGCUGGGUCUGCAGGCGUUUUGGAAAGACACUCGCCCUGGAAAGUGCAGUACGUCCUGGGGAUGUUGUGUAAACACUCGGAGCCUCUUUUCUGCACGGGACCGCUCAGUUCCCGGUUUCCAUCUCACAGAUUUUCAGGUCUGUUCUGAGGCCCAUUUGGCCCCGGGAACAUAAAGCAGUGAGGAAGGGAAGCCAUUUGGCAGCUGCGUUGUGUUUCUGAGCCCUGUCUUCGGCGUCUGUGGGCUUGCCAGCAGAGAAUGCAGAGGCUGGGUCGUGGAAAACGUGUUUUCAGUGAUGGCCUGGCCCCAGAAGAUUCUGUGGCACAGACCCCUUCUUACUUAAGCCAAUGACUGAAGGACUCCCCAGAAGAAUCACACACUUGGCCAACACUUGUGAAUACAUUCCUCACGGCCGACUUUAAUUAAAUGGAAGCAAAUAUAUUUUAAGAGUUGUUACCACUGAUGUGCUACUACAGCAACCCAGCAUGUGGAGCAUUAAUCUAUGAAUAAAAACAAAUUUUGAAAUUCAACAAUUUCCUUCGAAAGCUUAGUUCUGGCUUUGGUGACAUUUUGCAGUGUCCUCAGAAACAGGUAACACAGGAAGUUUCAUUUAGGAGUUUCCAUGGCUUCAAAGCUCACUGUGUAAAUUCCUAACAGAUAUGGCCUAACUUUUGUAAUGUCAUAAUUACAUCCUUCCUAAUUAUCCUGAGAAUAAUAGUAAGAGCGGCCCUCACUCACGGAGCCCUUGCUACAUGCCAAGCUCAGUGCAAAUCGCUUUGCAGCCCUUGGUUCAUUUAAGCCCAGGAAGAUGCUACGUAGUUCCUCUAUUUUUUAGACAUGUGGUACAUUUUAAUAUUUCUGAAAUUGGGAUCGGUCUUAUAAUUGAUAAUAUCAUCUGGCAAAAACAAAUACCACACAUUCCAUAUGCACAUCAAUUUAAAAACCUGCCAUUGAUCUAAGUCAUUUUGGAAGAGAAGUAAUAGAGUGUUAAGAUUCCCAUUUGCGGAUGAGGCAAA